Molecule: long non-coding RNA, 302 nt
Filed under: Androctonus crassicauda
Lineage: Eukaryota; Metazoa; Arthropoda; Arachnida; Scorpiones; Buthidae
Source: RNAcentral
UGUCCCAAAACACAGACAAUAUGAUCUUGCUGGACGGUCUUCUCUUAGGUCAUCCUGGUGCAACCACAUCUGAAUUCUCGUUUCCAUCGUUUCAUAGUAUCAUUUUAAUUUUCUCUGAUGGAUAUUCCUCGCCAUACAUAGCUGACAUCUUUUCGGAAUUGUUUGCGCAAUUUUUCCUUGAAGAUGGCAGAAUCGUAUCACGGCUCGAUAUUCACUUUUAUUCAGCAUAAUACCUUCUGUUAUCACGCUUCUAACUCCGGUUAAACAAGAUUCGUCAAAACAAAAAAAGGCAUGCCUAUUAG